UAGGGUAUCCAAGUGGCUAAAGGAUGCGGACUGUAAAUCCGCCCGCUUCGUGCGUUCGUCGGUUCGAAUCCGACCCCUACCACCA
Molecule: transfer RNA, 85 nt
Filed under: Opitutales bacterium
Lineage: Bacteria; Pseudomonadati; Verrucomicrobiota; Opitutia; Opitutales
Description: tRNA-Tyr
Rfam family: tRNA
About the family: Transfer RNA (tRNA) molecules are approximately 80 nucleotides in length. Their secondary structure includes four short double-helical elements and three loops (D, anti-codon, and T loops).
Source: RNAcentral